This 173-nucleotide non-coding RNA is filed under the name unclassified sequences. Its description in RNAcentral is "malK-I RNA". It matches the Rfam family "malK-I RNA". The record is from RNAcentral.
UCCAACCCCCGCGUCUUACUCCACCUAUGUAAUCCACGGGGGAAAUAAAGAAGGAGGAAAGUUUUUCCGCCUGACCGGCGGUGCGGCAGUGUGGAGACCUGUCGUAAGGCAGCGUGGCGGCUGCGAGGCUCCGUUUCGCGGAGGCGGCGGGGCUACGGUCAAGCAUUAUGGCA